Molecule: small RNA, 410 nt
Filed under: Histoplasma ohiense
Lineage: Eukaryota; Fungi; Ascomycota; Eurotiomycetes; Onygenales; Ajellomycetaceae
Description: hypothetical lncRNA
Source: RNAcentral
AGGCCCCGGUGGCCGAAUGGGUAAUGCGGCCACCAGGUAGCGCCUUGGCGUGGGGACCCAGGGUGCGUGGGUUCGAAACCCACAGGGGACAACAUUACAUCCAGAGCCAACUUCUCAGCUUCUAAAAUAAUGGGAUGUGAACUUGCCAAGUAGGUACCUUCAGGUGGACCUACUAUCUGAUUUAGCUUAUUGUUUCUGGGCUGGAAACCUGUAUUGCAUGUACCAAUUCUGUCUUUCAUUAAUUUUCCUAUGUUCUUGUUAUUCUUGGCGCUGUUCAACACUAAGCAUUCCUCCGGUAUAACCAACUCUUGCCUGUAUUUAACAUCACACAAGGACUCGUCAUAAGCGCUGCUUGCAUACGAGUAUAACGGAAGAAUAAUAAUAAUAAUAACUCACUGAGAGACAUAUGC